RNAcentral lists this long non-coding RNA (2240 nucleotides) under Homo sapiens (human). RNAcentral's name for it is "HSALNT0396481". The record is from RNAcentral. Lineage: Eukaryota; Metazoa; Chordata; Mammalia; Primates; Hominidae.
AACGAAGCCGCAGCGCACGUGGGUGAAGGUCGCCCACCCGCUUCCGGUUGUGGGCCCCGCCCGCCGAGUCACUUGAGACGAUUGCACCUCUCCCCGUGUUUGCGUCCGCUGCCUCUAGGCCACUGACAACCGCUGGCGGUUGGCGGGCCCUCAGCGAAUAGCUGAACGGAGUAGAGGAGAAUGUUUUCUAAUAAAGCAAAGGUGCUCGGCCCAGCAGCCACGGCCCUGACAGUCGCCCACCAGCCGGCCUCCAGCCCCAAGGGUCCUCGUGUGGUGCAGGAAGCGUUCGCUCAUCUGCUGCAGGCGGGCACUGGACAGGUCCCCCAGCCGCCACUCACAUGUUCUUCUGGGCCAGGAUGAUGGCGUUGACAUCAUCUGUGUUCACCAUGCUCAGGAUGCGGCCGCAGAAGACCCUCGAGGCCGAGUCCGGGAGGUCCAUCUCUUUCUCCUCCUCCGCUGCCUGAAACAGGCAAGAACAGAGUGGUCUGCACUAGUCACCAGGUGAGGUGGGACCAAGAGGCCAGGCCGGGACCGCCAUGUGCUGGAACCUAACCCAACCGUGGUGGUAUCCUACAGUGGGGAUGUGUGACUGUGGCUCAGUCAUGCCACCUGAACCUCAGGUGUGCCACCCCAGGAAUUUGGAGGUAUUGGGCAAACUAAGAGAGGUUGUAUUUGUAAACUGUACCCAAGCACAUUAGAAUCCCAUCACCUCCCACUUCCAUGAGCCCAAGGCCACAGGUACCUCUCACCUGCACAGAUCUGCCAGCUUCCUCCCUCAUCCCCUGCCUAACAACUGCUGUCCUCACAAGCUGAACGUGUGUGGCUGCUUCAGCAAAUCAUCACCACCUCCAAUGUCUCCUCUCCCAAGAGGUCAAUGACUCCUGUUCCCGUCACUCUUACCGCUUCUCUUACUACUUGACCUCGUUUUUUUAUUUCUUUUUGAUACAGAGUUUCACUCCUGUCACCCAGGCUGGAGUGCAAUGGCGCGAUCUUGGCUUAGCGCAACCUCCGCCUCCCAGGUUCAAGCGAUUCUCCUGCCUCACCCUCCCAAGUAGCUGGGAUUACAGGUGCCCGCCACCACGCCUGGCUAAUUUUUGUAUUUUUUAGUAGAGACGGGGUUUCACCAUUUUGGCCAGGCUGGUCUCGAACUACUGACCUCAGGUGAUCCACUCGCCUCAGCCUCCCAAAGUGCUGGGAUUACAGGCAUGAGCCACCGCGCCCAGGCUACUUUACCUUGUUUUUGUUUGUUUGUUUGUUAAGAGACAGGGUCUCGCUAUGUUGCCUAGGCUGCUCUUAAAUUCCUAGGCUGACACGACCCUUUUGCCUUGGCCUCCCAAAGUGCUAGGAUUACAGGCCUGAGCCACUGCGCCCAGCCACCCUUUACCUUGAUUUAACUGCUUCACUGGUUCACCUCUUCAUGAAAUUAUCCUAGUUAUCAGCUAACCCGUUUGCCUGUCACCGCCACAACGUCAGCUCCAAAAGAGCAGAGGUGGCCAGGUGCUGUGGCUCACGCCUGUAAUCCUAGCACUCUGGGAGGGCGAGGCAGGUGGAUCACGAGGUCAGGAGUUCGAGACCAGCCUGGCCAACAUAGUGAAACCCCAUCUCUACUAAAAAUACAAAAAUUAGCCAGGCAUGGUGGUGGGCACCUUUAGUCCCAGCUACUCGGGAGCUUGAGGCAGGAGAAUCACUUGAACCCAGGAGGCGGAGGUUGUGGUGAGCCAAGACUGUGCCACUGCACUCCAGCCUGGGCAACAGAGAGACUCCGUCUCAAAAAAAAAAAAGAAGGAGUAGAGGUGUGUCUGUCACCAGAACCCGACCCGGAGUCUGGCUCAUAGCAAGGGGCUGCCAGAAUGUUGUUGUGGGGAAGGGCAACAGAACUUUUCAAACUCAGCUCUGACGUGACACUUUUAUUAGCAAAUUAAAGCCAAGAAUUGCAGGUACUCACAGCCAACCUGUGGGCCCCAGCAAUCCAGAUGGUUCUGAGGUUCCCAGUUUUGCUGGCACACAGAUGACCGUAAUGGCAGGCAGGGACUUCCCGGAGCAGCCAGGGUAGGAGGGGCUACAGCACUGACCCUCCUAGGGAGUUCAGGAAAAAUCUAGGAUCUUGAUAUAGUUUGGCUCUGAGGCCCACACAUUUAAUAGCCAAGAAACAGAGACGAACUUCUACUGGAUCAGAAAGGGUUUCAGAGGCCGGGUGCAGUGGCUCAAGCCUGUAAUCCCAGGACUUUGGGAGGCCGAGG